GCCAAAUUCUGGUAGAUACCAGCACUACACUCUCUACUUUAAACCCACUCACUCACGACCCUUCAGACAGGAUUCUGGGAAAUCUGGCGGAAGCCAAAGGAGGGCGAGAAUUCUUACCUGAGUCAGUUCCCCCGGAUUACUGUAGAGCCUGGUUGAGAAAGGAAGAUAAAAUGUCUCGUUGUCCUUUAUUGGUCAUCUAUCCUUUUCUCUCCCUCCAACACAUAAUGCCUUCUUGUUUGUCUCCAUUUGUCUCUGAGACUCCGGCUUGCCUUUCUGCCGCCCGAAGCACUCUGUCGUCGUUUUUGCAAAUUCAGGCAGCUCUGCUGUCUGCUGGGACACAAAAAUACAGCGGACAGAAAGGUGGGUUGCACCCCAUUUGCAGCUUGAUGUGGCCGGACAGAAAUGUGGGUUGCACCCGUUUAUGGACGCGUCUGUUAAAGUAACUUUCUAAACCCAAGUCGGAGCCGCUCCUGACGGGUGUCACGUCAGAAACAGAAACCUACGUGACUUCGCGCCCCUGUAAAUGCUCCACUUGACCAGAAAUGCGGUCUAUUCAGUUAGCCAAUCCCCAAACACCAAGCCAACGCUGGGCCUUCUCACCCGCACAAGGUGGUUCUCAGGCUCCAGCCAAUGAGAUAGUUUCAGUUUCCGUAUAUCUCUUCACCGUUUUUUUAUUCUUUACCCUAUAAGAGUUGUCUACCUUCUGCCCCAUUUUGCGGUUCUCCACAGGAGACUGCCUGCUUCAUGAAGUGGUAAACAAACUUUGUUUGUACCACCUAAUAUUAUAUAUUUUUUAAAUCCUCUGUUAACAGUUUUUGGUGACUAAUGGAUUCUAAAGCUGACUUCUUGACCUGUGAAGCAAUCAGACGCACAGGCAAGGCACCUGCUGAAUCCUUCGUGUUCACGCUCCUCUCGUCCUUCCCCAGGGCUGUGGGAAGGAGGGGGCUGAGCCCUGUUGCCACCAGAGAAGAUCAAUCAGGAUCCCUUGGGCAAGGACAGCCACAUACCCCAGCUCGCCAAAGACAAAGGAUGGAUUUCAAAGUGACAGAUAUGGCAAGUCACCAACAGAUCAAUCUACAUGUUUUUUAUAGGUUAAAAAAAAGCUUAAU
RNAcentral lists this long non-coding RNA (1109 nucleotides) under Felis catus (domestic cat). RNAcentral's name for it is "lncRNA (ENSFCAG00000052103.1)". The record is from RNAcentral. Lineage: Eukaryota; Metazoa; Chordata; Mammalia; Carnivora; Felidae.